Molecule: long non-coding RNA, 1122 nt
Organism: Astatotilapia calliptera (eastern happy)
Lineage: Eukaryota; Metazoa; Chordata; Actinopteri; Cichliformes; Cichlidae
Source: Ensembl
UGAAUGUGAGAGUGAAUGAAUAAUGGAAUUGUAAAGUGCUUUGGGUGCCUAGAAAAGCGCUGUAUAAAUGCAAUCCAUUAUUAUCCUAUGGUUUUACCUUUGGGAGUAGCUAUCCCAGCAAUGUGACUUGAGCCAUGUGAGAACCAAAUAUCAUUACCCCAUUGAUUUUUCCUGAAUGUCAAAUCAUCUCAGCAUGGAUGACAUUCCUGUAGAACAAUUAGAUCUGUUUUCAUCUAUAAGUAAGACAAAACACAAGGCUUUCCUCUUUACUGAGUUUUGUAAAUCACUUGUAUAAACAGAUAUUACCAAAACAACACUUCUUUUUCAGGAAGGACCUGUUCUUUGUUCUCUUCCAGAUGAGGUCUCUCACAGAGCGAAAGACAAAUGGAUGAUGAUUGCACACUUGUACGCAUGCAAUCAUUCACCUGCAUUGCCAUCGGGAUACUUUCUUUUAAAAAUCCUUAUUGUCUUGUUCUUCUUUUGUACCACUCUGCUUCAGGUAUUCUGUCAGUUAGGGCAAUAUGUCACUUUUUUCCGUUUUUUCUAAGAGUUUUUUUUUUAAUGUGUUCUUCUUCUUUGGUUUGGAUUUUAGGCUAUAUGCCAAUUUCUUCUUCCUCUGUUGCUUGUCCUUUUCAGCUUGUUCUCCUUCAUCUUGCUUUGUAUUUCACCUUCUCCUGUUACACCAUUCAUAGCUACAUCUGCUGUGUCUCCAUACAUUCUCAUUGUGUGAGGAAAACUAAUGACUUUGAGGGGACCCAGUGGGAUGAACCAUUUUUCAAUUACACAAUAUGUUUAUAUUGUGUAAUUGAAAAAUGUAUUUCAUAUUAAUUGUUUCUACACUUGCACAAAGGGUUAAUGCUAGCCUAGGGUUUUUUAAUAAACAGCAUUAUCAUAUGCAAAACUAGGGUCUCACUAGGGGUGGGAAGAGAUUAUUUUAGGAUGGCACAUGCCACCUAUUGCCACUACAGAAGAUCCGCCCCUGCUUUGAGCAAGCACAAUCCACAGUCCAUAGCCUAAGCCUGCCUUGCAUCAGCACAAAUCACUGAACAGAUGUAUUCACACAUUUACAAAUGUGAUUAUAUACACAUAGAUCUGAAAAUGCACAAAGAGCUCUAAAUACAU